GGCCUGAUAGCACAGUUGGUUAGUGCAUCUGCUUCAGUUUGUCGGAGCAGUCUCGAAAUUGUUUAGGCAGGGGAGCUCCGUUCGAUUCGGGGUCAGGUCU
This is a non-coding RNA of Mycena vulgaris, 100 nucleotides long. Lineage: Eukaryota; Fungi; Basidiomycota; Agaricomycetes; Agaricales; Mycenaceae. The record is from the annotation of a GenBank genome assembly.